UGACAAACUGCCCGGGAAGAUCUCUGAGA
RNAcentral lists this non-coding RNA (29 nucleotides) under Rattus norvegicus (Norway rat). The record is from RNAcentral. Lineage: Eukaryota; Metazoa; Chordata; Mammalia; Rodentia; Muridae.